This is a long non-coding RNA of Scylla paramamosain (green mud crab), 1833 nucleotides long. RefSeq lists it as uncharacterized. The record is from RefSeq and is a predicted model, not a curated record. Lineage: Eukaryota; Metazoa; Arthropoda; Malacostraca; Decapoda; Portunidae. The transcript has 4 exons.
AAAAAAAUGUAGAAAAUAAAAAAAAAAAAAAAAAAUUCAUAUCCGGAACGUACAACGACACCCUUGAUGCAAAACAUGUUUGCGCGCCUGACGAUGUUAAGACACACGACACACACUUCCCUUGAGAAAAGAUGAUAGCCUUCACGAGUGUCUUACUAUUUCUUUGCAGAGCCCCUCUUCUUGAUGACGACGCGUACACUGUCAGCUACACUUUGCAGUGUGUUACUUAAAUUUUUCUCUAUCUUUGUAUCUCUCCAUUUCAGAUAAAUUGUUAUCUUUCCAAGGGUUGAGAAGAACAUGGUCGUGGUUCAAGUGAAGCCACUACAGCCACUCCCUGACAAGCCUUCCACACCGACAGACAGUGACAGCAGACACACAAGAGACGAUGGUGUGGUGGACAAGAGGAUGCAGGGAGACAGCAGACAGAAUGGAAGCUACAGAUGAAAGAAGAGCAGGUCAAGCCAUGGCAGCAGACACAUAGACAGACAGAUUGGAUAAGAAAGAAGUAUUAUUUAGUGAGACAGGACCACUGGAAGCUGUCAGAGUGCUGUGGCACGUGGCAAGAACCAAGUGUUCAGGAGCACACACUGUCCCUUCACCAGUCAGCAGGUCUGGGCGGCUUGGAAGCCUCACUACAAACUGAAGACCCGUUCACUUGAAGGACACAGUUGGAGUUAUUUUUAAACGAGAGCUUCAGGCAGAAAAUUCGAGUGGAUUUUCAACUCUAAAAAUAACUUUUUUGGGGGGAUAUUUUGAACCUUCUUUAUCUUGAAAAAUAACUCCAGAUAUUAUGACUCUAGCUGGAAGUUGACCUGAGCAAUGUAGGGUUUGCUGCAGUGAGAUUACCAAGGCACGAGUGUCUGGGAUUUAAAGAUGAUGGAUAGGUGUCCUGUGUGCUGCUGUGCUGGGAGGAGAGGAGCAGCAGCAGUCGUGGGGCUCUGUUGCUGCUGUCACUGGUGCAGCUGUUCACUCCUGCAGCUACCUUCCCUCAACAUACUGUGUCUUCCCUCACCUGCAAUGAACAACUAUGAACAAUACUUCUCCUGCGAUGAGGAACAGUGAAUAACACCUCUCUCUCUCUCUCUCUCUCUCUCUCUCUCUCUCUCUCUCUCUCUCUCUCUCUCUCUCUCUCUCUCUCUCUCUCUCUCUCUCUCUCUCUCUCUCUCUCUCUCUCUCUCUCUCUCUCUCUCUCUCUCUCCACAGUAUGUCCCCCACAGUAUGUUUACAAACCCACAGUGACUCUCCACAGCCCCUCACCAACAAUUGUCUCCUUCACACACACACACACAAAUGUUAGAAUCUUGUAGUGUCUACAACAAGGAAUGGAACCGAAAUCGACAAGCCAAAUUUUCUUCCAGCCUGCGUGAGUGUAGUGAGGCUCAAUGUGUGUGUACAAGUGAAGAAUAUAUAUUAGAUGCUUGACUCAAAAAUAUGAGGCUUACACAAAAAUACAGGACACAACUUGAGUGUGGUGAGUCAAAGGUGAGUCAAAAUGCUCAACUUUGAAUUAACUUACAACAAAAACUAACUAAAUAAAACACACUAUAAAGAAAUAAUCUCAUCAAUUAACACUGAAAAAAAAAUAUAUAUACACCAACACAAAAUAAAUAAAUAAAUAAAUAAAUGAAGACUAAAUCAAGCAAAUUAAUCUGAACGCUAACACACAAACCAACAUAGUCGUAUAUUUUUUAACACUACGGUGAAGAAAGAUAAUGAAGCUUUAACAUUGAGUGAAAGAGAGAGAGAGAAAUUUGUGGUCUUCCUAAAUUCUCUCUCUCUCUCUCUCUCUCUCUCUCUCUCUCUCUCUCUCUCUCUCUCUCUCUCUCUCUCUCU